CUUACGGGAGGCAGCAGUGGGGAAUAUUGCMCAAUGGGCSCAAGCCUGAUGCAGCCAUKCCGCGUGUAKGAAGAAGSCCUUCGGGUYGUAAAGYMCUUUCAGCGGGGAGGAAGGYGUUGAGGUUAAUAACCUYAGCRAUUGMCGUUACCCGCAGAAGAAGCACCGGCUAACUCCGUGCCASCAGCCGCGGUAAUACGGAGGGUSCAAGCGUUAAUCGGAAUUMCUGGGCGUAAAGCGCACSCAGGCGGUCUGUCAAGUCGGAUGUGAAAUCCCCGGGCUCAACCUGGGAACUGCAUUCGAAACUGGCAGGCUAGAGUCUUGUAGAGGGGGGUAGAAUUCCAGGUGUAGCGGUGAAAUGCGUAGAGAUCUGGAGGAAUACCGGU
RNAcentral lists this ribosomal RNA (383 nucleotides) under Enterobacter sp. Its description in RNAcentral is "partial 16S ribosomal RNA". The record is from RNAcentral. Lineage: Bacteria; Pseudomonadati; Pseudomonadota; Gammaproteobacteria; Enterobacterales; Enterobacteriaceae.